Molecule: RNA transcript, 2017 nt
Organism: Spinacia oleracea (spinach)
Lineage: Eukaryota; Viridiplantae; Streptophyta; Magnoliopsida; Caryophyllales; Amaranthaceae
Exons: 11
Source: RefSeq, a predicted model, not a curated record
AUUCUUUUAGUUUCUGGCGAUUCCCUUUUCUUUCUUUCUCUUCCUUCAAUUCCUCUCUCCUCUGUUUUCCCCUUUGCCUCACCUUCUCCGCCUGUUUCUCCUUCUUCGCCUUGCUCCCUUUGAUCCAUCUCUCUGCUUCUUGUGCGGCGGUGGUAUUCUCUCUCUUUCUCUUCUUCCCUAUGUUCUUCUCCCUCUUCCAUUUUUCUCUUGAUUCUCCUUCGUUGAUCGGAUUUCUUGUUGCCCUCCUUGCGUGAUCGGUUUUCGUUGAUCGGAUUUCUUCCCUGCCAUCCUUGCGCGAUAAAUCGAUCAUGACGGCGAUGGUUGUAUCAUAAAUUAAAGUCGAAUUGGUUGGCUAGGGUUUGAUUGGAUCUCACUUUUCAAUUUUUCUUUCGGUUUCUAAGAUCUGAUUUUUUGUGAUGGUUUAACCUCUUUAUGGGAAUAUAUUCAGUUCUUUACUACAUCUUCUAGGCACUUGUUGAAUGUGGCUUAAGUUCACUUUUGCUGACACACAUUUACUGGGACAACAAUGCAUGUAACUCUGUUAUCAUUGUCGUCCUUUGAAGUCGUCCUCUGAAGAGGCUAGACGCGUCAAAAUUCUCCACGUGCCUAACAAGAGCUGCUGCAUGAGGCUAUUUGCUUUGCAGCUGGAAGGAUUGUUGCAGGUCAGUCGAAGGUGGUAUGCUGCCAGUUAUUGACUAUUGCGCAACUGUUCUGCUUUGUUUGGCUGUCGUUGGCAGUGUUUUGGGCGUGGUGUUGCUGCAUGGGGGUAGUGGUUGUCGCUGCUUGUUUGUUGUCAACCAUAAAGUAUAUAGUGAAUUGUACAUCAGUGGUUUUGGAAUGUACAUGAUCUCAGGGAAGGAGUCAACUUACCAACAACUUUGCAGUGAGAUCACAGAGGAGUUCAGUGAUUGCUCUAAACAAGUUCGGGAGAUGGAGUCUCAAUUUCUGAAGCCUGACUGCUUUAGAGAUGAUCCUAAAACUUCAUCUGGACAACUUUGUUCGGUGGAUUCUCGUGCAGCCGAAAGGGAGCAAACACAACAGGGCGAGUGGCAUGAGCAAAUUCCUUUGCGAUUCAGGACGCUAGGCUAUUUCUCGAUACGGAGUUCAUUGAUGGGAAUGAAUGGUUGAGAUUAUAGCUUACAGAAACAACUGAACAUUAUACCUGAGACUUAUAUAUUGUAAAGCAUGUAUGUCCUGAAAUGCACGACAUCACUAUCUCGGGAAUCAAAUAGCUUCAUAAGCUCUUCGGGCCGGGUAUGCAUUAGAGGCGAGAUUAACUUCUCCAUUGCCGCAACAGGAGUGUAAUGUCUCAAAUUUAAACUUUUUAGCAUUACAAUUUGGGCAACAUUUAGGCGGAGAAAGGGUGGGCUACUCAACUGGCAAUGGUUGUUCAACAACUGCAGAAGGUACCUCUAUUUACAUGUACGAGGAAACUGGUUCGACAUGUUCAACUUAUCAUAUUCACAGGUUAGGAGGUUUGAUUUGGGUCGAUUAAUAAAUAUCAAUUUCCAAGGUUGAAGUGUUAAAUAACUUAUGGGCUUUCAAGAAUGUAAACAGUUUUGGCAGGUGAUGUUGUGGCUAUGUAAGGAGACGCUAGCCAUGACAACUCGAGUUGCAUGGAGCACGCCAAACCAACUCUUGUGGGGAGCUUUUCUUUGAUGAAGAGGGUAGCAAUGAAUAUGGAGGGCCUGAGUGAAAAAUGGAGCCAAGGGAGAAUUUUAGCAGAUUUAGGGCCAAACAAUGUGACAAACUCAUUCAAUGUUUGUGUGCACAAAGGAUAGUGCAAUGAGCCAGAGUUUGAUCAGAAAUAAGAAACACCAUUGAUGGGUGCUGGAGCAACGAUCAAAGGUUGAGGAUUAAGAUCAAGUUCUGUAAACCAAGGGGAUAUUGUUAGAUUAGAGGCUUUAAUUUCCAAUUUGUAUCAAUAUCAAUUUGUAUCAUCUAUUUACAAUUUUUUUCAUCAACUAAUUCAUCCCAAUGAUUAGAAUAUAAACAUAUUUGUGUGUUUUUUCCUAAA